This 497-nucleotide ribosomal RNA is filed under the name uncultured bacterium. RNAcentral describes it as "partial 16S ribosomal RNA". It matches the Rfam family "Bacterial small subunit ribosomal RNA", at positions 28 to 507 of the family's 1533-position model. The record is from RNAcentral.
GACGAACGCUGGCGGCGUGCCUAAUACAUGCAAGUUGAGCGAUGAAGAUUGGUGCUUGCACCAAUUUGAAGAGCAGCGAACGGGUGAGUAACGCGUGGGGAAUCUGCCUUUGAGCGGGGGACAACAUUUGGAAACGAAUGCUAAUACCGCAUAACAACUUUAAACAUAAGUUUGAAGUGUGAAAGAUGCAAUUGCAUCACUCAAAGAUGAUCCCGCGUUGUAUUAGCUAGUUGGUGAGGUAAAGGCUCACCAAGGCGAUGAUACAUAGCCGACCUGAGAGGGUGGUCGGCCACAUUGGGACUGGGACACGGCCCAAACUCCUACGGGAGGCAGCAGGAGGGCAUCUUCGGCAAUGGACGAAAGUCUGACCGAGCAACGCCGCGUGAGUGAAGAAGGUUUUCGGAUCGUAAAACUCUGUUGGUAGAGAAGAACGUUGGUGAGAGUGGAAAGCUCAUCAAGUGACGGUAACUACCCAGAAAGGGACGGCUAACUACGUG